CCUACGGGGGGCAGCAGUAGGGAAUCUUCGGCAAUGGACGAAAGUCUGACCGAGCAACGCCGCGUGAGUGAAGAAGGUUUUCGGAUCGUAAAACUCUGUUGGUAGAGAAGAACGUUGGUGAGAGUGGAAAGCUCAUCAAGUGACGGUAACUACCCAGAAAGGGACGGCUAACUACGUGCCAGCAGCCGCGGUAAUACGUAGGUCCCGAGCGUUGUCCGGAUUUAUUGGGCGUAAAGCGAGCGCAGGUGGUUUAUAAAGCCUGGUGUAAAGGGCAUUGGCACAACAAUGGAUUGCAUUGGAAACUGUUAGACUUAGGUGAGGGAGAGGGGAGUGAAAUUCCAUUUGUAGCGGUGAAAUGCGUAGAUAUAUGGAGGAACACCGGUGGCGAAAGCGGCUCUCGGGCCUGUAACGGACACUGAGGCCCGAAAGCGUGGGGAGCAACCAGGAUAGAUACCCCUGUAGUC
This 464-nucleotide ribosomal RNA is filed under the name uncultured Lactococcus sp. Its description in RNAcentral is "bacterial SSU rRNA". It matches the Rfam family "Bacterial small subunit ribosomal RNA", at positions 338 to 795 of the family's 1533-position model. The record is from RNAcentral. Lineage: Bacteria; Bacillati; Bacillota; Bacilli; Lactobacillales; Streptococcaceae.